CUAAAAACCUAGCCCAACAAACAUGAAUUUUACCAAAUUAACUAAACCCCUCUUAACAAACCAUUUUAAUAUUCUAGUAAAGGAGAUUGAAAAACUUAUUUGGAGCUAUAAAAACAGUACCGCAAGGGAACGGUGAAAUAUUAUGAAAAACUUCAAGCAGCAAAAAGUAAAGAUUACCUCUUGUACCUUUCGCAUCAUGGUUUAACUAGUCUAACCAAGCAAAACGUAUUUAAGUUUGACUUCCCGAAACUAAGUGAGCUACUUCAGGGCAGCUAGAAGAGCAAACCCGUCUCUGUAGCAAAAGAGUGGGACGACCCUCAAGUAGUGGUGACAGACCUAACGAACUUAGUGAUAGCUGGUUGCUCAAGAAACGGAUUUAAGUCCAACCUGAAAGUUUUAUAACCUAAGUUCAUCAAAACAAUCACCUAGCUUUCAGCGUAAUUCAAAUAAGGUACAGCCUAUUUGAAACAGGAUACAACCUAGCCUAGUGGAUAAGAUCAGCCUAACAUACAAUCAAGUGGGCCUAAAAGCAGCCACCUUUAAUACAGCGUCAAAGCUAAAUUGUAACUGAGCCCAAUUACUUAACCCAUAUCUUAAUCCCCUGCCAAUACUGAGUAAUUCUAUAAUAUUAUAGAAAUUUUUAUGUUAAAACUAGUAACAAGAAGAAGAUUCUUCUCUUAAAUGUACAUAUAAAUCAGAAAAGACAAGCUACUGAUGCUUAACACCUCUGAGCAUAAAGUAGUAACUAACCAAGAAAACUCUACUUUUACUGGUGUUAAUCUAACACAAGAACAU
RNAcentral lists this ribosomal RNA (795 nucleotides) under Bufo bufo (common toad). Its description in RNAcentral is "partial 16S ribosomal RNA". The stretch from base 165 to 795 matches the Rfam family "Bacterial large subunit ribosomal RNA", at positions 568 to 1668 of the family's 2925-position model. Lineage: Eukaryota; Metazoa; Chordata; Amphibia; Anura; Bufonidae. The record is from RNAcentral.